UCUGUUCACGGUGAUGGAUCCCGCCGGAACGCCUUGCACCCGCUGCGGACGUUCGAACCGCCUCCCGGCUGAUGGUUCCUACCUUUGC
This 88-nucleotide non-coding RNA is filed under the name Arthrobacter sp. Its description in RNAcentral is "Fluoride sequence". It matches the Rfam family "Fluoride riboswitch aptamer (crcB RNA motif)". The record is from RNAcentral. Lineage: Bacteria; Bacillati; Actinomycetota; Actinomycetes; Micrococcales; Micrococcaceae.